RNAcentral lists this ribosomal RNA (419 nucleotides) under uncultured bacterium. RNAcentral's name for it is "bacterial SSU rRNA". It matches the Rfam family "Bacterial small subunit ribosomal RNA", at positions 355 to 786 of the family's 1533-position model. The record is from RNAcentral.
UGGGGAAUAUUGGGCAAUGGACGCAAGUCUGACCCAGCAACGCCGCGUGAAGGAAGAAGGCUUUCGGGUUGUAAACUUCUUUUAAGGGGAAGGAGUAGAAGACGGUACCCUCGAUAGCAACAGGCUAACGUACAGUGCCAGCCAGCCGCCGGGUAAUACGUAGGUGGCAAGCGUUGUCCGGAUUUACUGGGUGUAAAGGGCGUGUAGCCGGGUGUGCAAGUCAGAUGUGAAAUCUGGAGGCUCAACCUCCAAACUGCAUUUGAAACUGUGCAUCUUGAGUAUCGGAGAGGUAACCGGAAUUCCUAGUGUAGCGGUGAAAUGCGUAGAUAUUAGGAAGAACACCAGUGGCGAAGGCGGGUUACUGGACGACAACUGACGGUGAGGCGCGAAAGCGUGGGGAGCAAACAGGAUUAGAUACC